This 567-nucleotide ribosomal RNA is filed under the name uncultured archaeon. RNAcentral describes it as "bacterial SSU rRNA". It matches the Rfam family "Archaeal small subunit ribosomal RNA", at positions 312 to 879 of the family's 1478-position model. The record is from RNAcentral.
CGCGAUUCGCCCUUCGGGGUGCAGCAGGCGCGAAAACUUUACAAUGCCGGCAACGGCGAUAAGGGAACCUCGAGUGCCAGGUUACAAAUCUGGCUGUCGUGAUGCCUAAAAAGCAUUGCAUAGCAAGGGCCGGGCAAGACCGGUGCCAGCCGCCGCGGUAACACCGGCGGCUCGAGUGGUAACCGUUAUUAUUGGGUCUAAAGGGUCUGUAGCCGGCCGGGUAAGUCUCUUGGGAAAUCUGGCAGCUUAACUGUCAGGCUUUCAGGAGAUACUGCCUGGCUCGAGGCCGGGAGAGGUGAGAGGUACUUCAGGGGUAGGGGUGAAAUCUUGUAAUCCUUGAAGGACCACCAGUGGCGAAGGCGUCUCACCAGAACGGACCUGACGGCAAGGGACGAAAGCUAGGGGCACGAACCGGAUUAGAUACCCGGGUAGUCCUAGCCGUAAACGAUACUCGCUAGGUGUCGGCCACGGUGCGACCGUGGUCGGUGCCGUAAGGAAGCCGUGAAGCGAGCCACCUGGGAAGUACGGCCGCAAGGCUGAAACUUAAAGGAAUUGGCGGGGGAGCAC